AUUAGGAAUUGGCGGGGGAGCACCACAACGGGUGGAGCCUGCGGUUUAAUUGGACUCAACGCCGGGCAGCUCACCGGAUAAGACAGCUGGAUGAUAGCCGGGCUGAAGACUCUGCUUGACUAGCUGAGAGGAGGUGCAUGGCCGUCGUCAGUUCGUACUGUGAAGCAUCCUGUUAAGUCAGGCAACGAGCGAGACCCACGCCAACAGUUGCCAGCAUGUCCUCCGGGAUGAUGGGGACACUGUUGGGACCGCCUCUGCUAAAGAGGAGGAAGGAAUGGGCAACGGUAGGUCAGCAUGCCCCGAAUUAUCCGGGCUACACGCGGGCUACAAUGGUCAGGACAAUGGGUAUCGACACCGAGAGGUGGAGGCAAUCUCCUAAACCUGUCCUUAGUUCGGAUUGUGGGCUGCAACUCGCCCACAUGAAGCUGGAAUCCGUAGUAAUCGCGUUUCAAAAUAGCGCGGUGAAUAUGUCCCUGCUCCUUGCACACACCGCCCGUCAAU
RNAcentral lists this ribosomal RNA (501 nucleotides) under uncultured archaeon. Its description in RNAcentral is "bacterial SSU rRNA". It matches the Rfam family "Archaeal small subunit ribosomal RNA", at positions 857 to 1357 of the family's 1478-position model. The record is from RNAcentral.